GUGGAUUAGAUACCCGGGUAGUCCUGGCUGUAAACGAUGGGUACUAGGCGUCGGGGGUAUCGACCCCCUCGGUGCCGCAGCUAACGCGUUAAGUACCCCGCCUGGGGACUACGGCCGCAAGGUUGAAACUCAAAGGAAUUGACGGGGGCCCGCACAAGCGGUGGAGCAUGUUGCUUAAUUCGAUGCAACGCGAAGAACCUUAUCCAGGCUUUGACAUCCUGCGAAUUUCCUAGAAAUAGGGAAGUGCCUUCGGGAGCGCAGAGACAGGUGGUGCACGGCCGUCGCCAGCU
This 290-nucleotide ribosomal RNA is filed under the name uncultured bacterium. RNAcentral describes it as "partial 16S ribosomal RNA". It matches the Rfam family "Bacterial small subunit ribosomal RNA", at positions 773 to 1060 of the family's 1533-position model. The record is from RNAcentral.